RNAcentral lists this ribosomal RNA (494 nucleotides) under uncultured bacterium. Its description in RNAcentral is "bacterial SSU rRNA". It matches the Rfam family "Bacterial small subunit ribosomal RNA", at positions 15 to 518 of the family's 1533-position model. The record is from RNAcentral.
GAUUCUGGCUCAGGAUGAACGCUGGCGGCGCGCUUAACACAUGCAAGUCGAACGAUUAAAGCACCUUCGGGUGUGUAUAAAGUGGCGAACGGCUGAGUAACACGUGGGCAACCUGCCCCUCUCAUCGGGAUAGCCUCGGGAAACCGUGGAUAAUACCGAAUACUCCGAUUAUCUCGCAUGGGAUUUUCGGGAAAGCUCCGGCGGAGAGGGAUGGGCCCGCGGCCUGUUAGCUUGUUGGUGGGGUAACGGCCUACCAAGGCUAUUAUGGGUAGCCGGGUUGAGAGACCGACCGGCCAGAUUGGGACUGAGACACGGCCCAGACUCCUACGGGAGGCAGCAGUGGGGAAUCUUGCACAAUGGGCGCAAGCCUGAUGCAGCCGACGCCGCGUGCGGGAUGAAGGCCUUCGGGUUGUAAACCGCUUUCAGCAGGGACGAGGCCGCAAGGUGACGGUACCUGCAGAAGAAGCCCCGGCUAACUACGUGCCAGCAGCAGC